Molecule: ribosomal RNA, 518 nt
Filed under: uncultured bacterium
Lineage: Bacteria
Description: partial 16S ribosomal RNA
Rfam family: Bacterial small subunit ribosomal RNA
Source: RNAcentral
UGGGGAAUUUUGGACAAUGGGCGAAAGCCUGAUCCAGCAAUGCCGCGUGUGUGAAGAAGGCCUUCGGGUUGUAAAGCACUUUUGUCCGGAAAGAAAUCCUUGGCUCUAAUACAGUCGGGGGAUGACGGUACCGGAAGAAUAAGCACCGGCUAACUACGUGCCAGCAGCCGCGGUAAUACGUAGGGUGCAAGCGUUAAUCGGAAUUACUGGGCGUAAAGCGAGUGUAGGCGGUUGCCGUAGUCAGGUGUGAAAGCCUUGAGCUCAACUCAAGAAAUGCACUUGAUACUGGGUGACUAGAGGACCGGAGAGGAUAGUGGAAUUCCCAGUGUAGUGGUGAAAUACGUAGAGAUUGGGAAGAACACCAGUGGCGAAGGCGGCUAUCUGGACGGUUACUGACGCUAAGACUCGAAAGCGUGGGGAGCAAACAGGAUUAGAUACCCUGGUAGUCCACGCCGUAAACGAUGGGUGCUAGACGUUGGCGAGCUUGCUCGUCAGUGUCGCAGCUAACGCGUUAAGCA